GUCAUAGUUCAAUGGUAGAGCACAUGCUUUGCAUGCAGAAGGUCUUGGGUUCAAUCCCUGGCAUCUAUU
Podarcis lilfordi (Lilford's wall lizard) is the source of this 69-nucleotide non-coding RNA. Lineage: Eukaryota; Metazoa; Chordata; Lepidosauria; Squamata; Lacertidae. The record is from the annotation of a GenBank genome assembly.